Long non-coding RNA from Hyaena hyaena (striped hyena), 1432 nucleotides. RefSeq lists it as uncharacterized. The transcript has 3 exons. The record is from RefSeq and is a predicted model, not a curated record. NCBI's taxonomy places the organism in Eukaryota, Metazoa, Chordata, Mammalia, Carnivora, Hyaenidae.
AGCCUAGAAGGAAACGGAAGUCCCUUCGUCUCCCUCAGGCGCACCCACCAGCCCGCCCACCUCCCGGAGGAGCCCCGAGUCGGGGAACCCCAGGACUGGUCGCCUGCAGUAUGGCCUGCACAAGGCCAUCUGACUUAAACUCCUCAACACUCAUUCCCAAACAACGUUACAGCUCCUUAGCUUGAUGUUCACUCUCCCCUUGGACACCUUACUAUGGACUGAAAGAAAACCAACCCCAAAGUAGUAAUCUCCACACCCAACAUGGGGCUUGAACUCACAUAUCCAAGAUCAAGAGCCACACACUCCACCCACUGAGCCAGCCGGGUGCCCCUCCAGUGUAUUCUAAAUGUUGGCAUAAAACCCAAAUCUAUCAUUAGCUUAAAUGAAUUUUAAAUACCGUGGUGAUUUGAUACCCACUGUCAUCCACUUGAAAAUUAAAGGAAAAAGCUCUUCUUUAGGUGCCAGAAAGUUUAUAUCUAUUUUUGUCUUUAAUUCAUUUAUCCAUUCCACUUCCACCAUAGAAUUUUAUCUUAACGUGAUAUAUUUUUAUGCUUUCAAGUCUUUUAUUGAUCACUCUGUCAUAUGACUUUGCAGCAGAACUAUGAAUACAAAACAUUUUUUAAGGAAAUGUCCUAUCAACAUAUUUUUAGCUGUUAAAAAAGUUCUCUAGAUUGAGUUAUUCAUAACAUUAUUGGCAUAAAAUUGCUCACAACACAAAUAUUUUAUACAUUUUGAUAAACGAAUGGAAAACGUAAAAAGGCAAAUUUUAUCAGAAAUGCACCCUUGAAUGAGCUGGAUAUUUUCCCCCUCCCAUGCAUGGAGGGCUGAGUACAACCUGUUGCUGGAAUGAGAGUUCAGGUUCAAUUCUAUUUCUGUUUUUAUCUGUAUAGAUAUGCGCACCGAGAAAUUUGUUCACACAUAUGAGAAUAUGAAAAUACAAAUAGAAUUGUAAGAACAUUAUCAUUUAGUUAUCUGAGCUCUGAGUUCUUUGCCAAGACUCACAUGGUGAUCUAUCAGAAAUGUCAUUUUAUGAUCUAUUAUCUGGCUACCUGAUUAGAGUUUCCUUCAAAUUUGUCGAAAGCAAAAGAUUGGAAACCACCUACUGGCAAAAGGAUUUCUUAUGCAUCCACUAGACUCAUUCACUUUCUCAACUUCUGAUACCAGAAAGGCUUUUUAGAUGACCAGUAACUAUACUUCUUUACUUUUUCAUUGAGGGGUAACUUAUUUAACCUGAUUUACUCAGAAAGGCUUGGAAAAAUAAAAAAUUCUAUUAAUGUGAAUGAAUAUUUGCCACUAUAAUAUUUUAAAAUAAAUGCUUCUGUUUUAUCUUGUGCCUUAAAUAUAUUUUCGUGAAACGUUUUUGGAGCUGCUGAUGUGAGUUUAUUCGAUUUCUAGAAAAUGCCCCACUGCAUAAUCUAAUGGGUAGCCAGUC